UGUCGAUGGUGAUGGCUACACUGCUGGUUCUAUGCGUACCAUCACAUUCGGUCAUCGUAAGUACCCACACACUCAUCACCCAUGCAUCAUCAUGUCUUUCUUGCUAUAACUAGCCAACUUGCCAUUUUCUGUUUUCUAGUUUUCAAUCGUGUUGCCGGGACGGCCACUGAGAAGAUCAUAGACGUUGACCACGGAAAUUUAACUAUCGAGUCAACCUUUACUGAGGAUGGAGGCUUCAUU
Molecule: long non-coding RNA, 240 nt
Filed under: Linum usitatissimum (flax)
Lineage: Eukaryota; Viridiplantae; Streptophyta; Magnoliopsida; Malpighiales; Linaceae
Description: long non-coding RNA (LUSI_LNC000467)
Source: RNAcentral